GUAGUCACGACAGUGUGCUGUUGCUAUGAAUGUGAAGUAGUCGCUAGAUGUGACAGUUAGUUAGGGUUUAGUAAAUAUUUACGUGAUGGCUACCACUUACCCGUAUAUGAUCAACUCGUGGUAAUAAUCUUUAAACAGCGCCCACGGUUACCUAUGAGAUAAGCUUAUGUUUUUGUUGAGUAAAAGUCGAAAGGAACUAGACGUAUCAAAACAAGAGCUAAUGUUGUGACAUCUGAAUGUGAUUAAAAACCAGCUGUCGCGUUGAUACGCUUGUGUCUGUCAUCUGUUUAGUUUAGUAUAGUGCCGAUGUCAAGAUGUCUGUGGAACUGGAUGUAUUUGUUGGAAACACCACCAUUAUGGACAAAGAAGUGUAUCAACUAUGGCUGAAUGGAUAUACAGUGAAUGAUGCAGUGAAGGUGCGGAUAGAAGGAGGUGUAAUGGAGGAGUGUGAGGCGAGUGCAGAAGUGCUGCUCAGUGACACCAUGGACCAGUACAGAACUUUCCAGAUGUGCGAGAGACUUUUGCACCACCCAGCUAAACUAGCCAAUCAG
Long non-coding RNA from Sinocyclocheilus grahami, 551 nucleotides. RefSeq lists it as uncharacterized. The transcript has 3 exons. NCBI's taxonomy places the organism in Eukaryota, Metazoa, Chordata, Actinopteri, Cypriniformes, Cyprinidae. The record is from RefSeq and is a predicted model, not a curated record.